Camellia sinensis is the source of this 868-nucleotide non-coding RNA. NCBI's taxonomy places the organism in Eukaryota, Viridiplantae, Streptophyta, Magnoliopsida, Ericales, Theaceae. The record is from RefSeq and is a predicted model, not a curated record.
CUCUCUCUCUCUCUCUCUCUCCCUCAUUCUCAUAUCGUUUUCGGCACAAACCCUUUUUUUUAUUUUUUUAUUUUUGGGUGCGCAAACUGCUCCUCAGAUCUCUGUUCAUGGCGAUUGCUAUUCAGAUUACGCGAAUGAUGAAAGAUCUCACCUAUUUCUCGGCAAUCGGAGUUGUAGAAACACCAAAAAUCUCACGAUUUCAGAUCUCUGUCUACCGGUGUCAAAUCUCACCACCACAUCUCCUCAACCAGAUUAUUUGGCCAGAUUUGCUCAAUCUUCCAUAGACUGGACAUAAGAGAAGCUGAGGGAGGAACCAGAAUUGGUAUUAAUCCAUCAAUGCUAGACAGUUUUGCAAAUUUCAAUGGAAAGCAGCAUAUAGUGCAAAUUGGGAACAUGUGCUAUGAAGACAAUUCAUUUUAGAGAGAAACUAAAGACUCAUGUUAUAAGGAAGUAUAUCAAUCCAGAAUGGAAUAACGAUUUAACACUUUCCAUUUCAGAUCUUGAUCUUCCAAUCAAGCUGGAAAUUGGUGAGUAUGAACUUGUUGAUAUAUUGACUCCUUUAGAGAAGACACGAUUUUGGGAUGGAGUGAAAGCUGCCAGGUGGUCAGAGUGAAAGGAGGCUGUCGAUGAGCUAACUAAGCUAGCAUCCACAAAAAGGAUAGCUCCCGGUGAUUUUACAGAAAUCUAUUGAACACUUAAGAAGGGUUACUUGAUGCUCUUUGGUCAUUUUGAUGUUCAAUGGUUUGGCUUUGAAGUUUGGUGGUGGCUGGAACCUUUUUCGCCAUGAUGUUCGAGAGAGUACACAACAACAGCAACAUGUAGACUAGAACAAUGCUUCCAUGGAAUUGAUCAAUAGUGUGACUGGCAC